This 210-nucleotide long non-coding RNA is filed under the name Brassica napus (rape). RNAcentral's name for it is "long non-coding RNA (BNAP_LNC020584)". The record is from RNAcentral. Lineage: Eukaryota; Viridiplantae; Streptophyta; Magnoliopsida; Brassicales; Brassicaceae.
AAAUGGCAUUCAUACUCAUCUUCUAUGACUCAAUAAACUCAAUUUUAACAUCAAACAAUCACUCCCAUUUCAAUUUUCGAAAACCCCCAAUAUGAACCCUAACUUUUCAAAUUCGAAUUCAGGUCAAUUAAACACGUUUUUCAUCUACCCAACUCAUCAAUAAAGUAUAAAAGGACAUAAUUAACGAGUAUUGAACAAGAAAUCAACCAU